UCCCAAAAGCGUGGGAUUUUGCUACCCGAAGAAGGAUUUCGGUGCCAAAAAAUUUGAUAAGACUCGCUUGAGCUCGAAUUUAUAGGCUAAGAAUCCAAUUUCAUUCUGGUGCUGGCGAGAAUUCCGAUGAUCUCGUAGUCCAGUUUGCUGCUCUAAAAAAAGUAAAAGUAAAAAGAGAAAAUGGGGCAAGUCAUUCAAGUCAACAAGAGGCCAAAUGUGAAGGAAAAGAGCCAUCCGCUUUGCAUCUGCUUUGGAUCUGCUUUGUAUCUGCUUGGGAGCUGCUUUCUAUCUGCUCUCCAUCCGCUUUGGAUCUGCUCAAGCAGAUCAAGAGCAAGGUGGAAAUUUUAUAAUUUUGUCAAUUAUUUAAGAGGUCUUGUAGCUCAUUUUUACCCAUCAUUCUACAACUCUACCUCCCUUAUUUAGUCUAGGGUUUUUGUAACUUCUUGGUGCUUGGAGCAUGACUUGCACUAAAUUUUGAGCUAAGAAGACAUUAGAGUGACUUCUAAGUGUAGAUUUGGCUUCAUACAUUGAAGAUUCAUUGGAUUC
Long non-coding RNA from Capsicum annuum, 546 nucleotides. RefSeq lists it as uncharacterized. The transcript has 2 exons. NCBI's taxonomy places the organism in Eukaryota, Viridiplantae, Streptophyta, Magnoliopsida, Solanales, Solanaceae. The record is from RefSeq and is a predicted model, not a curated record.